Molecule: ribosomal RNA, 396 nt
Filed under: uncultured bacterium
Lineage: Bacteria
Description: partial 16S ribosomal RNA
Rfam family: Bacterial small subunit ribosomal RNA
Source: RNAcentral
CUACGUAGGUGGCAAGCGUUGUCCGGAAUUAUUGGGCGUAAAGCGCAUGUAGGCGGUAAUUUAAGUCUGUCGUGAAACUGCGGGGCUCAGCCCCGUAUGGCGAUGGAAACUGGGUUACUUGAGUGCAGGAGAGGAAAGGGGAACUCCCAGUGUAGCGGUGAAAUGCGUAGAUAUUGGGAAGAACACCGGUGGCGAAGGCGCCUUUCUGGACUGUGUCUGACGCUGAGAUGCGAAAGCCAGGGUAGCGAACGGGAUUAGAUACCCCGGUAGUCCUGGCCGUAAACGAUGGGUACUAGGUGUGGGAGGUAUCGACCCCUUCCGUGCCGGAGUUAACGCAAUAAGUACCCCGCCUGGGGAGUACGGCCGCAAGGCUUAAACUUAAAGGAAUUGACGGGG